This 69-nucleotide transfer RNA is filed under the name Camelus bactrianus (Bactrian camel). It matches the Rfam family "tRNA". Rfam says of the family: Transfer RNA (tRNA) molecules are approximately 80 nucleotides in length. Their secondary structure includes four short double-helical elements and three loops (D, anti-codon, and T loops). Further hydrogen bonds mediate the characteristic L-shaped molecular structure. tRNAs have two regions of fundamental functional importance: the anti-codon, which is responsible for specific mRNA codon recognition, and the 3' end, to which the tRNAs corresponding amino acid is attached (by aminoacyl-tRNA synthetases). tRNAs cope with the degeneracy of the genetic code in two manners: having more than one tRNA (with a specific anti-codon) for a particular amino acid; and 'wobble' base-pairing, i.e. permitting non-standard base-pairing at the 3rd anti-codon position. RNAcentral also lists the same sequence under 2 other names. Lineage: Eukaryota; Metazoa; Chordata; Mammalia; Artiodactyla; Camelidae. The record is from Rfam by way of RNAcentral.
GAGGGUAUAGCUCAGUAGAGCGCAUGCUUAGCAUGCAUGCGGUCAUGGGUUCGAUCCCCAGUACCUCUG